GGGCCCGUGGCCUAGCUGGACAAGGCGUCGGCCCUCUAAGCCGGAGAUCGCGGGUUCGAAUCCCGCCGGGCCCG
This 74-nucleotide transfer RNA is filed under the name Candidatus Bathyarchaeota archaeon. RNAcentral describes it as "tRNA-Arg". It matches the Rfam family "tRNA". Rfam says of the family: Transfer RNA (tRNA) molecules are approximately 80 nucleotides in length. RNAcentral also lists the same sequence under 1 other name. Lineage: Archaea; Thermoproteati; Candidatus Bathyarchaeota. The record is from RNAcentral.